GGCUCAGGACGAACGCUGGCGGCGUGCUUAACACAUGCAAGUCGAACGGUGAAGCCCUUCGGGGUGGAUCUGGCGAACGGGUGAGUAACACGUGGGCAAUCUGCCCUGCACUCUGGGACAACACCGGGAAACCGGUGCUAAUACCGGAUACGACAUGCCUCCGCAUGGGGGUGUGUGGAAAGCUCCGGCGGUGCAGGAUGAGCCGCGGCCUAUCAGCUUGUUGGUGGGGUGACGGCCUACCAAGGCGACGACGGGUAGCCGGCCUGAGAGGGCGACCGGCCACACUGGGACUGAGACACGGCCCAGACUCCUACGGGAGGCAGCAGUGGGGAAUAUUGCACAAUGGGCGCAAGCCUGAUGCAGCGACGCCGCGUGAGGGAUGAAGGCCUUCGGGUUGUAAACCUCUUUCAGCAGGGAAGAAGCGUGAGUGACGGUACCUGCAGAAGAAGCACCGGCUAACUACGUGCCAGCAGCCGCGGUAAUACGUAGGGUGCGAGCGUUGUCCGGAAUUAUUGGGCGUAAAGAGCUCGUAGGCGGCCUGUCGCGUCGGAUGUGAAAGCCCGGGGCUCAACCCCGGGUCUGCAUUCGAUACGGGCAGGCUGGAGUUCGGCAGGGGAGAUCGGAAUUCCUGGUGUAGCGGUGAAAUGCGCAGAUAUCAGGAGGAACACCGGUGGCGAAGGCGGAUCUCUGGGCCGAUACUGACGCUGAGGAGCGAAAGCGUGGGGAGCGAACAGGAUUAGAUACCCUGGUAGUCCACGCCGUAAACGUUGGGAACUAGGUGUGGGCGACAUUCCACGUCGUCCGUGCCGCAGCUAACGCAUUAAGUUCCCCGCCUGGGGAGUACGGCCGCAAGGCUAAAACUC
RNAcentral lists this ribosomal RNA (863 nucleotides) under uncultured bacterium. RNAcentral describes it as "bacterial SSU rRNA". It matches the Rfam family "Bacterial small subunit ribosomal RNA", at positions 21 to 902 of the family's 1533-position model. The record is from RNAcentral.